RNAcentral lists this long non-coding RNA (918 nucleotides) under Pan troglodytes (chimpanzee). RNAcentral's name for it is "long non-coding RNA NONPTRT000393". Lineage: Eukaryota; Metazoa; Chordata; Mammalia; Primates; Hominidae. The record is from RNAcentral.
AGAAGAUUUGAUGUGAGAAUCAUUCAAAAGCAAAUAAAAUAGGAAAAAGCUGAUGAAUAGCAAACAGGUGACAUAGACCUAUAUGAAGCUUUGGCAGUUCAAAGGGUCAGAGAGACCCCUCAAAGAAAGAUACUGGCCUUGUUGAACAGCUGGACUGACAGGCCCAAGUGAAUGAACACCCAUGCCCCUGGAAACUGCAUCAGAGGAGAAAACAGAGAAACUUCCUUUGAGCCUGACUGGGUAUUCAGUGACCAUCAGAUCAUUUCAUUUGGAUUGUUGCUGAGGAAUUGUUGCAACCUAUGGACUACAAGUAUAUUUCCCUUCACCUGUGAGUUCAUGUGUGUUUGGUAUCUGGGUCUCACCAAGGAGAAUGCACAGGAGACAGGAUUUUUUUUUUUUUUAAAGUAGAGUAACUUUUGCACGUCUUUUCUUUUGCUCUAUCCACAAAUGUUGAAGAAGUCCUAGAGGUUUAGAAUGAAAACAGCCUGAGUCAUCCACUACCAAAACACCCUCUAAGGUUGUUAAAUUGAUAAGAAAGGAACUUCCAUGCUUUAGGCUACUGAAAUUGUGUUGAUUUAUUACAACAACUGCCAUAGUUACCUUAACUGGUAAAUUCACAGAUUUGUUGGAAUCCUGACCAAACUGGAAAAGUGGCAGUAACCAUGGAAAAGUCAAAGACAAAAUGACAGCCAAAUCACACCAGUAAAUAAGUGGAGUGAAGACACGUCUAUUUUCACAGCUGAACACUGGAAAUUGCAAAUUUGAUUGCCACUGGCAUUGGAUGCUGGAACUGCUUCUGUUUUUACUGACACUAGCAUACCGGGAUACUUCGAAGUUGCUGUAGUCUCUGCAAUAUUGAGUGUUGGAAGGUGCUAGAAAAUGAGUGUCUGUCUUUUUUGUCUUUUGUACUGGAAGGCA